UACGUAGGGGGCAAGCGUUGUCCGGAAUUAUUGGGCGUAAAGAGCGCGUAGGCGGUCCGAUAAGUCGGCUGUGAAAGUCAGGGGCUCAACCCGUGAAAGCCGGCCGAUACUGUCGGACUAGAGUCCGGAAGAGGCAAGUGGAAUUCCCGGUGUAGCGGUGAAAUGCGCAGAUAUCAGGAGGAACACCGGUGGCGAAGGCGGGUCUCUGGGCCGAUACUGACGCUGAGGAGCGAAAGCGUGGGGAGCGAACAGG
RNAcentral lists this ribosomal RNA (253 nucleotides) under uncultured bacterium. Its description in RNAcentral is "partial 16S ribosomal RNA". It matches the Rfam family "Bacterial small subunit ribosomal RNA", at positions 524 to 776 of the family's 1533-position model. The record is from RNAcentral.